Molecule: ribosomal RNA, 497 nt
Filed under: uncultured bacterium
Lineage: Bacteria
Description: partial 16S ribosomal RNA
Rfam family: Bacterial small subunit ribosomal RNA
Source: RNAcentral
GAUGAACGCUGGCGGCGUGCCUAAUACAUGCAAGUCGAGCGAACAGAUGAGAAGCUUGCUUCUCUGACGUUAGCGGCGGACGGGUGAGUAACACGUGGAUAACCUACCUAUAAGACUGGGAUAACUUCGGGAAACCGGAGCUAAUACCGGAUAAUAUCUUGAACCGCAUGGUUCAAUAGUGAAAGACGGUCUUGCUGUCACUUAUAGAUGGAUCCGCGCCGCAUUAGCUAGUUGGUAAGGUAACGGCUUACCAAGGCAACGAUGCGUAGCCGACCUGAGAGGGUGAUCGGCCACACUGGAACUGAGACACGGUCCAGACUCCUACGGGAGGCAGCAGUAGGGAAUCUUCCGCAAUGGGCGAAAGCCUGACGGAGCAACGCCGCGUGAGUGAUGAAGGUCUUCGGAUCGUAAAACUCUGUUAUUAGGGAAGAACAAAUGUGUAAGUAACUGUGCACAUCUUGACGGUACCUAAUCAGAAAGCCACGGCUAACUACGUG